UACGGAGGGUGCAAGCGUUAUCCGGAUUUACUGGGUUUAAAGGGUGUGUAGGCGGGCUUUUAAGUCAGUGGUGAAAUCUCCGGGCUCAACCCGGAAACUGCCAUUGAUACUAAUGGUCUUGAAUUUUGUUGAGGUAGGCGGAAUAAGUCAUGUAGCGGUGAAAUGCAUAGAUAUGACUUAGAACACCAAUUGCGAAGGCAGCUUGCUAAACAAAUAUUGACGCUGAGGCACGAAAGCGUGGGGAUCAAACAGG
RNAcentral lists this ribosomal RNA (253 nucleotides) under uncultured bacterium. RNAcentral describes it as "partial 16S ribosomal RNA". It matches the Rfam family "Bacterial small subunit ribosomal RNA", at positions 524 to 776 of the family's 1533-position model. The record is from RNAcentral.